UUAAAGGAAUUGACGGAAGGGCACCACCAGCAGUGGGGCCUGCGGCUUAAUUUGACUCAACGCGGGGUAUCCUACUAGGCCCGGACACUCGAAGGAUUGACAGAUUGAGAGCUCUUUCUUGAUUGGGUGCGUGGUGGUGCAUGGCCGUUCUUCGUUGGUGGUGUGAAUUGUCUGCUUAAUUGCGAUAACGAACGAGACUCUGGCCUGCUAACUAGUCGAUACCGGCAUCCGUUGUGCAGCCGGCGACUAUAAGUCUUCUUAGAGGGACAAGUGGUGUAUAGCCACACGAGAUUGAGCAAUAACAGGUCUGUAAUGCCCUUAGAUGUCCUGGGCCGCACGCGCGCCACACUGAAGGGAUCAGCGUGUGUUUUCCUAGUCCGAGAGGACCGGGUAACCCGUUGAACCUCCUUCGUGCUAGGGAUUGGGACUUGAAAUUAUUUCCCACGAACGAGGAAUUCCUAGUAAGCGCGAGUCAUAACCUCGCGUUGAUUAUGUCCCUGCCCUUUGUCCACACCGCCCGUCGCUACUACCGAUUGAAUGAUUUAGUGAGGUCUUCGGACCAGUGCGCGGCUUUCGGAAUUUUUUCCGAAGACCGAUGCUACCGGAAAGAUGACCGAACUUGAUCAUUUAGAGGAAGUAAAAGUCGUAACAAGGUUCCC
RNAcentral lists this ribosomal RNA (659 nucleotides) under Anaxipha aff. nitida ICCM-2015. Its description in RNAcentral is "SSU rRNA". It matches the Rfam family "Eukaryotic small subunit ribosomal RNA", at positions 1144 to 1804 of the family's 1831-position model. The record is from RNAcentral. Lineage: Eukaryota; Metazoa; Arthropoda; Insecta; Orthoptera; Trigonidiidae.